AGAAUAGAAUGGCCUUUAUUGUCACUAUACAGUGUAUAAAGGAGGUUGGCGAGCUUCUCCUUAUCAGUGCAGACACAAAGUGCAAAGGGUAUAAGAUGUAAAAAGAAGUGUAAAGGAAUUUUUUGCAGGUAUUGCACAUUUCGUUUAACUAAACAUAAAAAUAUGUUAAAACGAAAUAAACAGAACAGCAGCAUCAGUGUCAGUGAAAGUCUACAUUGCACAAACAUGAUAAGAUCCAGAAACAGAUUAAUUCAUCAAGACAGUAAUUCCACAUAUAAACUGAUGAUUAUCAAAGAGUUAAACAGAGUUAAACAAAAGAACAACAGUAGUGACAGAGCUGCUCACAGUCAGCUGUCAGGUCAACCUAAAUCACAGUAUGAAUUAAAACCAGCUCAGAUGAUUGGUUCAGCAUUUUAAAAAAUAUUCAUUAGGAUCUUCAUACACAUUAAAGUUCAAUCAAUACACUGAGCUGCAAGAGAACCAGUCACUGCUGUGAGAGUUCAGGUGAGCUCACAUUUAAACAUCAUCAUAAUCAGGUGUGAACAGCCUGUAUAUCAGAAAGGACAGUUCAUACCUGAUAGAUGUGUACAUCAUGAACAAAAACACUUUUAUUUAAAUGAUUAUAUUGCUGUUUUAUGUUCUGUUUUGUAUGCAAAAAAAAGUAAAAUAAAAUUUAUAUUUUAUCAUAUAUGACAACUUGUGAAGUAGUUACAAAGCUCCAGUCUACUUGCAUCCAUUUGUGUGUUAACGCAGAGAGAUGAACACAAUGUAGCUCAAGAAAAACAUCUUCUCAACUAUGACAUCAAAACAUUAUAGAGCAGAAAAUGAUGCUGAGUUUGGUUUGACAGACUAACGAGUUAUGAAUCAACUCCAUCAGGUUUCUGGAUCCAGUCUCUCAGAGAGUUCAGAGCUGUCUUCACUAUCUGUAAGGUCAGAAACAAACAGAGUUAAAGGUCAACUCAUAGUCUGGAGAAAUCAUCAA
Molecule: long non-coding RNA, 982 nt
Organism: Mugil cephalus (flathead mullet)
Lineage: Eukaryota; Metazoa; Chordata; Actinopteri; Mugiliformes; Mugilidae
Exons: 3
Source: RefSeq, a predicted model, not a curated record